GCCUACACAUGCAAGUCGAGCGGCAGCGGGAAAGUAGCUUGCUACUUUUGCCGGCGAGCGGCGGACGGGNGAGUAAUGCCUGGGAAAUUGCCCAGUCGAGGGGGAUAANAGUUGGAAACGACUGCUAAUACCGCAUNCGCCCUACGGGGGAAAGCAGGGGACCUUCGGGCCUUGCGCGAUUGGAUAUGCCCAGGUGGGAUUAGCUAGUUGGUGAGGUAAUGGCUCACCAAGGCGACGAUCCCUAGCUGGUCUGAGAGGAUGAUCAGCCACANUGGAACUGAGACACGGUCCAGACUCCUACGGGAGGCAGCAGUGGGGAAUAUUGCACAAUGGGGGAAACCCUGAUGCAGCCAUGCCGCGUGUGUGAAGAAGGCCUUCGGGUUGUAAAGCACUUUCAGCGAGGAGGAAAGGUCAGNAGCUAAUAUCUGCUGACUGUGACGUUACUCGCAGAAGAAGCACCGGCUAACUCCGUGCCANCAGCCGCGGUAAUACGGAGGGUGCAAGCGUUAAUCGGAAUUACUGGGCGUAAAGCGCACGCAGGCGGUUGGAUAAAUUAGAUGUGAAAGCCCCGGGCUCAACCUGGGGAAUUGCAUUUAAAACUGUCCAGCUAGAGUCUUUGUAGAGGGGGGUAGAAUUCCAGGUGUNGCGGUGAAAUGCGUAGAGANCUGGAGGAAUACCGGUGGCGAANGCGNCCCCCUGGACAAAACUUGACGCUCAGGUGCNGANAGCNUGGGGGNCAAAA
This 742-nucleotide ribosomal RNA is filed under the name Aeromonas hydrophila. RNAcentral describes it as "bacterial SSU rRNA". It matches the Rfam family "Bacterial small subunit ribosomal RNA", at positions 46 to 773 of the family's 1533-position model. Lineage: Bacteria; Pseudomonadati; Pseudomonadota; Gammaproteobacteria; Aeromonadales; Aeromonadaceae. The record is from RNAcentral.